Molecule: long non-coding RNA, 3309 nt
Filed under: Mus musculus (house mouse)
Lineage: Eukaryota; Metazoa; Chordata; Mammalia; Rodentia; Muridae
Description: predicted gene, 48832
Source: RNAcentral
GGACGAGCAAUCAUUUCCUUAGAGCAUGCUGUGCCUGCUACCUCCCUCAAAAAGAGAAUACUGUCCUUUUCUUUGGUCAAUAGAUCAAGUUAGAUGCCAGUACCAUGGGAUGACCAUUAAGAACGGCAGCAGCAGUGGAGUGGAUCAACCUGAGCUUAGAGUGCUAUAGAAGGCAGAACUGCAGAAGCUCUUUGGAGGAGCCCAGAAGAGCAUGUGUGGAUCCCAGACAUUGAAACAAGAAGCUGUAACAUUGAGGAUGCCUUGGAGAUCCCAAGAUGUUUGAGAUGUCAGAGCCAGGAACUAUCUGUUGAGGAAAGCUGCUAACAGGGAGUGGAACCAGCCCAGGAGAAAGAAGUAUGUUGCAGUCAACAAAGAUGAAAAGGAGUUGGAGAUCUGAAGACCACUUUGACAUCAGACAUGGAGAUGCAGAAUUUGGAAUUUGCCCAGGUGGUUUCCUGUCUUGUUUUGGGGAAUACAGUUAAGUGAUUAGAAAAAAAUCUCAGAAAAAUCUUUGAACUUUGGACUUUUAACAUUGUUGAGACUGCUAUAGACUAAGGAACUUUGGAAGUUGGACUAAAUGUAUUUUGCAUUAUGCUAUGUUCAGGUAUGGCCCCCCAGAGACUCAAAUGUUUGGACAAGGCUAUGGGGGCCAGGGAGUGGAAUGUGAUGGUUUAUAUAUGGCCCAGGGAGUGGCACUAUUAGGAGGUGUGGCCUUGUUGGAGUUGGUGUGUCACUAUGGGUGUGGGCUUCAGACCCUCACCCUAGCUGCCUGGAAGUCAGUCUUCCACUAGCAGCAUUCAGAUGAAGAUGUUGAACUCUCAGCUCUGCCUGCACCAUACCAGCCUGGAUGCUGCCAUGGUCUUGCCUGGAUUAUAGUGGACUUAAUCUCUGAACCUGUAAGCCAGGCCCAAUUAAAUGUUGUCUAUAUAAGAAAAAAUAGAAUUUCCUUGGAUCAUAUUAGUAAAAAUAAAUGUUGGUGUUUUGGGUUACUACACACAGUGAAUCUACAGCUAGUUUUUCUACUCCUACCUAAGGACCUUAGGUUUGCCAAGGUGGUGAAUUUUCUCUUAAAGUUUGACUUGCCGAAUAUGUAUUUUUAAUUUAUGUUCUAUACCUAGGUCAGUUCAAAACUUGUUUACAUAUGUUUUGUACUCAAAUUUUCAGAACCUCUGAUUUUUUUAAAAACUGAUAACCAUAGUCCAUGUUAAUUUUUCUCUCAUAUCACAUGUCUGCUUGACAUAACAUGUGACUUAGGUAUGGGAGAAAUGAUGUCUUCUGCAGCAUACACAGAUUCACCCAUUAGUCAUACGCUCUCAGGAUUAAGUGUAUACAACUGGUAGUAGGUGGUAGAUGUUCGUGUUUGGAUAUGAUCUGAGUCUGUCCCUUCAAAGUACAAGUGACAAAGGUCAAACUCCAGUGUGGUGGAGUUGGGAUGAAAAUCCUUCCGUAGGAAGGUAUAAUGGAAGAUGAUAAGGCCUUGGGCUCUUGAAUCGGUCACCCUAGCUUGAGGUCUUCAAGGUCUCCCCUGUAAGCAUACCUGUCUCCAUGAUGCAAUAAACCUUGUUGUGACACAGCAAGACAGCCUCUCUGGGAGUCAAAUAAGAGGCCCCAGAUCCCAGAAUUUAUCCAUUUUAGCAUUUCAAACUGUGAGUUAACCAAAUUCUUUUCUUUACCAAGACUUAGCUAUGUUGUUUUGUCAAUGGAAAAUAGAUAAAUGCAAUACCUGUUUAGCAUUUGUAAACAUAUCUUUUAAACACUGUAAGCUUAUGUAAAGGAAGCAAGUUCCAGUGGGCAUCAAAUAUAUCAGUUCAGGUUCUACCCAAGAAUUGGCUGAUACACGUCAAGAUGAAACGAGCAUACCUAUAGAAGAUAACCUCAUGUUCUACUAGGCAAGGAUCGCAAAUAUUUGGGCAUGUGUUCCUCUUAAAAAGGCAGAAUGUUCGAUCAAGUGGUAGUUCCUCGUUCUCUCCUCCACAGUGUUUCAUGUGUCCCAUUAAGCAAGCAUCAUCUUUAUCUCAGAGAAGCCCAAUAUCUUUCAGUACAAGCAUUCAGAGAGAAAGUACUGCAGCACAAAGUCACAGGACAUUUAUCCACGCCUGGCAUCUGGGAAGACGACACGCAGACAUUUCAAAUUUAUAUUUCAUCAUAUGAAUGUAGAAUCUGAACACCUUUCUUGUCUGGAGAAAGGACAAUCGUCUGGUGCAUGGUACUUACAACACCGAUUGAAACAGUCACGUUUCACCAAGAUGUCCACACAGGAAGGAAAGUUGGCAUUAUCAUCAUCCUUGGCAGUACCAGAAAACUCAGGCUGAUAGCAUUGAUGAAGAAUUCUACAACGGGGAAGUCGGUAUUGAAUUUAAUGUGAUGCCAUAAGCCGUGGCAACCAAACUGCUAUCUGUCUCUGUGGAAUUUUGUAAAUUCAUUGAUCGACAACUGUGAAUAACUGUGAGUUAUUUUUCUGUGGUCAGAUGGAUCAAAGGAAUACACUUGAUAAUAACCCCUUAGUGCACUUAUAAUAAGAGACUCAGCAACCCAAUAGUGAAGAUGUAGCCAAGUCAGAGGACCACGUGAGUAGCUAGAGAGUCCUUCUAAAAGUAAACGAGCAUUCCUGGCUUUAAAUCUACACAAAUAUAGAACUCUACAACGAGGCUGCUAUGGGAGAUUGUGCAACCUUAAUUCUUCUAUGACUAGUCGUACAAACAAGGCAGAAAUCACCCAGUCUAUCCUCACUUGUACUCAUUAGAAGCAGCAGAGUAGUUCUUGAAGACACAAUGAUGUACUUUAGAGGGAUAAGGGUCACACGUUUUUAAAUGAUACUUGUUAUCAUUUUAAUGACAGCUAUUGGUCACCAUGAUGGUUUGAACAAGAGAUGUUCCCCGGAGUCUUCAACGUUUGUAUACUUGGACCUCCAUGGAGACUUACGUGCUCCAGCUUUGCUGGAGGAAUUCACUGUAAAAUGCCUCACCUAUAUCCAGUUUGCUCUUUCUGGUUUGUGCUCACAAUUCGAGGGUAUGGUCACUUGCUUCCUGCACCGGCCACCAUUUCUGCUGGUUGCCAUACCUUUUCAUCAUCAUGAUGGUCUCAUAACCCUCUAGAACCACAAGCCAAAAUAAAUCCGCCCUUCUAUAAUUUUUUUGUCAUGAUACUUUUAUUACAACUACAGAAAACAACUAAUAAAGUUACUAAUAACAUAUUAAGCAAUAACUUGUAACAUUAUUUUUGAAAUAGCUUAGAAAUGUUAUAUCCUGGGAUGUUGCUAGUCUUUGAAACAUGUAUUUCCUUGAAGAAAACAAUAAAAAUCUUUUGUUU